Long non-coding RNA from Neodiprion fabricii, 729 nucleotides. RefSeq lists it as uncharacterized. The record is from RefSeq and is a predicted model, not a curated record. Lineage: Eukaryota; Metazoa; Arthropoda; Insecta; Hymenoptera; Diprionidae. The transcript is spliced from 3 exons.
CAGUCCGUACUCGUUUCAGGGCCGAGUUGCAUGGCGGCAAGAACCCCAGUUAGUCUACGAUAGGAUCUAGCGAGACAAGGUCCCUGGUCACGGCAACAUUGCCGAGCACGAACCGCGACCCAGACCUAGAAACACCCUCUUUCGUCCACCCCCUCGGAAAGCUGCCAGUUUCUCGCUUUUGUAGAUCGACUGAGACUCGAGACGGUUUACACACUUUCGCUAGAAACAACGCCGAAGUUGUCGAAAAUUAAAACAACAUCAUUGAAAAAAGAACACCUCGUUGAUUACUUUGAGUAAAAAAAAUUUUACGGUAGAUUUUCACGGAUUUUUAAGUGUUCCUUUAGAAACCUCAAUUUAAAACUAAUUGUCGCAGAAAAAUAUCCUUCAAUGUGUUAUUACCUUGGAAAAAAAAGAACAUCUCGUUAUCAUCAUCUUACCCAGAGCAGUCAAAGAAAAGAAUUAAAAAAUGCUGCAAAUCAACGUGGCUUUCAACGCUUCGCCAAACUGUUUCAAAGGUUCUUGCCCCGCGUUACGUAUGAUUGGAACCUUCUCUUAGGAAGAUAUACAAAAUGUCGACUUUAACUAGCUCCUUCGAUCCUGAAAGCGAUGUGAGUUUUUCCCCGAAAAUUUUUCCAAUUUACCUCUAUCCGUAUUUAGGAUUAACGUAAAUAUGAUAAUGAAUUUUAUCAGAAUUCGACAUGUUGAAAAAAACUUAUCUAAUUUCACCAC